CGAACGCUCUCCGCAUGCCUAAAGAUGCAAGUCGAACGCGUGUAGCAAUACACGAGUGGCGCAUUGGCCACUAACACGUGGGAACCUGCCCUGGAGUGGGGGAUAACCCGGCGAAAGCCGGGCUAAUACCGCAUACGACCUGAGGGUGAAAGAUUUAUCGCUCUAGGAGGGGCCCGCGUCGGAUUAGCUAGUUGGUGGGGUAACGGCCUACCAAGGCGAUGAUCCGUAGCUGGUCUGAGAGGAUGAUCAGCCACACUGGGACUGAGACACGGCCCAGACUCCUACGGGAGGCAGCAGUGGG
RNAcentral lists this ribosomal RNA (301 nucleotides) under uncultured Pseudomonadota bacterium. RNAcentral's name for it is "bacterial SSU rRNA". It matches the Rfam family "Bacterial small subunit ribosomal RNA", at positions 30 to 359 of the family's 1533-position model. Lineage: Bacteria; Pseudomonadati; Pseudomonadota. The record is from RNAcentral.